RNAcentral lists this ribosomal RNA (93 nucleotides) under Photobacterium damselae. Lineage: Bacteria; Pseudomonadati; Pseudomonadota; Gammaproteobacteria; Vibrionales; Vibrionaceae. The record is from RNAcentral.
CCCACCUGAAUCCAUGCCGAACUCAGAAGUGAAACGCAGCAGCGCCGAUGGUAGUGUGGGGUCUCCCCAUGUGAGAGUAGGACAUCGCCAAGC